RNA transcript from Musa acuminata AAA Group (dessert banana), 4922 nucleotides. RefSeq lists it as uncharacterized. NCBI's taxonomy places the organism in Eukaryota, Viridiplantae, Streptophyta, Magnoliopsida, Zingiberales, Musaceae. The transcript is spliced from 2 exons. The record is from RefSeq and is a predicted model, not a curated record.
GGGGCGAAAGGCAAAUGGGGUUUCUUUCUCCCGUCUCUGACCCCGUUCGUUCGACAGCUCGAGCCCCCUUGAAGCACCUCUGGAUACUCUCUCUCUCUCUCUCUCUCUCUCUAUCCGUCAUAACACAGCGAAUCGGUAGGCAAUUGUUGUCACCGCAAGAAUUCUUCGACCUUUCGUCGGAUUCUUGCCCAGAAGCACUCUACGAUUUUUUUCUGGUUUCCUUUUCGUUCUGAGUAUAUCUUGAUCAAAAUCCUUACUUUUCGUGUCUUCUGUUCCCCACAGGGAACCAACUUGUCUGCCAUAACAGAGCUCAACCACCAGAGCGUGGGCAGCGUGCGUGUUUGUCUCCUCUCUCUAAUUCGUUUUCUUUUGUUUAGCAUCUUUGUAUGUUUAUGGUUCAGCGAUGCCCUUAUCUGGAACUAAAAAGUAUCCGAAAAAUGAAGUUUCUUUGACGUAUUUCUUUGGAAUCGGUUGAUUGCAAGACACGGUCGAUAGUAUGUCUAUGCUACUUUUAAUUGAUGGUGGCGGCAAUGGGAUCGAAGACAACCUGUGGAGACUAUAAAGUUGGGAUUUUUAUGCUGGCUGAUAAUGUGAUAUGCGGAAUCGUCAUUUUCAGUUGUUCUUUUGUUGGAGGAGUGAGGGAUUGAGAUGUCAGUGAUUGUUUGUUCUAAAGCAUUAUCUGUUGGAAAAUAAUUCUACUAAGAAAUCCAGUGUCAUCUGUAUUGGUGUAGAUAGUGUUGUAUAAGGCAUAAGAUGAAUGGUUGAUAAGGAUUGAAUCUAAUAUUGACUUAUUAGAUCCGAGAGAUAAGUAUGUUGGAACUUGGAAUUCUUCCCAGUUUUAGAAGAUUCAUAGUCUGUCCUUGAUCUGCUUGCAAUGGAUAAAAGUCCUGACUGUAAUGAACUCAUAACCAUAAUGAAGGCUUCAAAGGUUCUCACAAGUUUGGUGUACUUGAUCAUAGUUCUGACUUUUUUUCUCACUCAUUCAAUUCAGAUAUUACAUAAUACACAUAGAUCUCUUCACUGCACACAAAACACCUUAAACACUAGGAUAUCUCCUCAGACGUGUAUGCUUGUGUGUGUCUAUGUUUUGCUUUUGAAGCUCUUGAGGUUUCCAAUAUAUCUAUUUCACAAGUAAUGCCUUUCUAGGUGUGCAUACUGUAUUAUUUUUAUUUUCCUCCAUCUCAUUCUUCUUAGCUAUAUGAAUUAAAAAUCUCUUCUUGAUAUCCGUGUUUUAGAAGUUGGAUGCCCGUAUAUAUCGGUUAAGACAAAGGCAAAUACUUAGCACUUAUAGGUGAAGUUGUAUGACUAUCUGAUUACAGUUGCUACUUGCAUUUGAAACGGAGCUAGAGGAGCUGAUGGCAGGUGCUUGGAAAGGAAGAAGAGGUAUAAGAAGUGGUAGGAUGUACCUGAGCACAAAAUUUUAACUUGCAAACUACUAUGCAAGUAUGACAUACACCAUUUUAUAUCACAAAUUUGCUUGUAACAUAAAAGAGUUUAGUUGCUCAUAUACAUGCCACAAGUGACUUGCAUGCAAUCAAAUAUGAAAUGUGGUACUUGCUGCAAAAAUAUUUCUUCCUCAUGGGCAAUCCAAUGCCCUGUGCAUCAAGGUGAUAUUCCGGCUUUUGGUAGAUUCUCAAAACAUUUGGUGCCAAGAGGACAUUGGUUCAAAUGCUUUGACCCUUUAUAAAUGCAGCUUGAGCUCCAUUUACUGACUGCUUCCAUGUUCUUUUGCAGAUUGUUUGUGAUGAUCCCUAUGGUACACUUACAGCAAACAAGUGAUGGGCAUAUAAUCUGCAAAAGUUACUGGGAUGUGGUAGAUAUAGAAGCGAUCUUAAUGGAAGUCUGGUGUAGCUUCAGUGAAUAUAGCUUUAGUGAAGCCCUCAAUAGCAGGUCAAGCGAAACCCUGAAGAAGCCAUCUGGGAUUGGGGCUGUCCCUUUUGAUUGCAAAUAAGACCACUUUAGCUUAAAGGGGAAUAACAUCUGUACUAAGCUAAUGUCUUACCUCUUCAUAAAUGACAGAAUCAGCUUGAGCCCUUGGAAGAAACCUGAAUGCCAAGCAAAUUUUGGUAGAAAGAGAUACACUCUACGGCUACAUUUGCCUCAUCGAUUAGUUUGACUCCUCAAGAGUGAACAUGAAAGUAUUAUAGUGUCUCUUAAUGCCUUAAUAGAGGUAAUUAUUAUUUUCCAGAUGUAACCAAUGGAUUCUAAACUUCUGCCUAAUUGUGCUCUCUUUGGCAUACAGAGAAGAGUGUAUUCGUGUUAAGCAUUUUUUGUCCCAUUGAUUACAACUCAAUAUUGUCAGCUUGUGAUGGACCACCUGGAGCUGAAGGCACGAAAGACCAAAGAAGAGCAUCUCUUUCCAUGGGACAAAGGGGACAAGGCAUGAAAAGAACCACUGACCUGGGGUUGAUGGAUGGAGGAAGACAAGUGGCACAGCAGAGCCUCUACUUAAUCUUGUCAUUCUCAGAUCAUGAUCUCUUCUUCUUGGAAAGGAAGCCUCCUCCUUGUUGGUCACAGGGACCACUAGACGACGACGACACUACUACGGAAUGGAAGGCAACAGGCAGGUUCGUAGAUUCUUCUUCUACUUUAAGCACAGCAGAGGAAUGAAGACUUGCUACCAAAUUAUUAGUAAAGUUCAUGGCACUAAAAACGUUAGUGUCAGCAUGUUUAACAAAUAACUGUUGUAUCAGUUUUAGAUUGAUAACAAAAACAACAAAAGUAACAGCAACAAUAAUGACAUGAUGAUCAUAUUAGUCUAGCUUAAUAGUUUUCUUUGUUAUCAAUAAAAACCAUGCUUUCAUGUAUGAUAUAAUCAAAUAAAGUAGUGAAAAGAUAAUAAGAAUCCUUAUACUAAAGCAAAAUCGAAGCUCGAAUAUAGUCAAUCAUGCUCUAAGCUUGUAGAAAGUUAAUAAUGGAUAACAACUAGCAAACAAGAUCUUCCUGAUCUGUUUAUCUCAAUGACUCUUGUAUCAAGGUAUCAUUCCUGCUCUUUGUUUUAGCUUCCAGCUUUCUUUCAUGGUAAUAACUUCUGGUCAUGGAAGAUAAGAUUUGCAGAGGCAUCUUAAGGUGGCAAGCUAAGGUCAACAACUAAUCCAUCUGCUUAUAACCAUGUGUAUCUUCACAAUAAUGAUAGACACCACUUAAGCACAGUUUACAAUGUUUAUUUCCCUUCUGCUAUAGUGGUUACAGUGAGGACCUAGACUGAAUAAGUCAUGAAAGACUUGUUUUGACUGUUUGACACUUGAGCUGCAUGAUUAAUUUCUUGAGGCAAUCAAAGGAAUAGAGUGCUGGCCAUGAUUAACAGAUCAAAAAAUUACUUAGCCAGCAUAAUGAAGGAUGAUUCAGUUGACAUUUAAUGCACAGUAAGAGUUCAACAGCUUUGUGGAAAUCCAAUUCAAACUUGGUGACUUAGUGAGGAAACAAACAAACAGAGCUGCAGAUCUCACUACUGCAUGAGGCAUUAACUAGCAACAUCCCUGUAUUUGUCCUUAUAUGUGUCUCAAUCUUAAGUUAGAUCAUAGUGUCAUUGCAAGUGUUGAACUCAGGAGGAAUACAUGCAUUACAACAGAUCAGCUUCAAUGGAUAAAAAUAUAGAAAUCCAUAUAUAUAGAUAUGGCCAUAAGUAGCUAUAGAAGAUCAAUGAGAUGUUAACAAUGUGAGUUGGUAGACAACCAUGCAACUUAGAAAUAGGACAAGUAUAUCUUCACCUCAAAAUAGGCCACAAGCCCUAUCCAAGGCAAUAUAAAACAAUGUCUUGCCUUUGUUUUCAUAUGGUAGUUUCCUUUAGCUCUGGUUUCUGUAACUCCAAAGAGGAGCUAGCUAAUAUGAUGUUCCUUCUCACAAGGAAGGAACAUACAAAAGCAGCUAUAUAAUGAUUUUUUUCACUUUUCUUUUCUGAGGGAAAAUGGACUAGCAUAUGUACUAACUGUUUCUGGCACAUCUGUAGGUUUGAUGUGAUCAAAUCACAAAAUGGUCCUUUGGCAUGCUCAGCCAGAUUUGCCAAUUGAUGUGGUAUUGGCAUAUUAUGUGUACUGAAACAAGGUGGAGAAUAAAAAAUGUUGAUCUUGCAUAUAAUUAAUUUUUUUUGGAAAUAUAACUAGUUUAAUUGUGUAUGUGGGUGUGGUUUUCAAAGAAAUCUUCCAUUGAUUUCUUAUGCCACCAUAAAUCCAACUAAUUGCAACUAGGUGACACAAUAUCUAGAGAAUGAUAUCUAGGCCAGCACAAUAAUUACUAGAAAAUAUUUUAUGGUGGUUAGCCAGAGCUUAGAUAAACACCAAGAUCAGGUCAUUCAUUCCUGACAUGAUCAACUAUGUUUAGAACAGGGUGACAGUUUGAGACCAUGGCAUCUGUUCAUAUCCACAGAAAAAAUUCUUAGGUAAGGGAACCUUUCAUUUCUAGAAGAUGUUGUAGCACUCAGUGUGUGGAGACUGAUACUAUUCUAAUUGUUGUACAAGACUGUCAAAGAAUGUUCAUUUACUUUCUAAGUUGAAUGAAAUACCAAAUACUGAUUCAGAGGAGCUUGUGGUGCAACUUUAUUAUUAUUUUUUCUUUUUUUGUUUGAAAAAAAGUGAUACAGUUUAAUGAAGCUUCAUAAUCAUCCCAGCUAGUGAAAAUGUCAUUUCCCAGCUAGCCUAAAGCUUUGUCUUUACUACCAUCACUCCUAUUUCAAGUCUCCUAACUCUUGCUAGCCUCUUGAAAUUUUCUUUUCUCCAUGUUCCUGCCACUGAAGGUGUCAUAAACUUUGAUGCAAGAGCAUCAGAGACUUGCACAAGAGUCACUUGAUUGCUUCAUCUUCCUGUGACUCUCUGUUCUCCAUUCUCUCUCUCUCUCUCUCUCUCUCUCUCUCUCUCUCUCUCUCACCUCUUCAUCCAACUUCAAACUUAAGUAUAUUGUGUUCAUAAUGAACUUAAAUCCUUUGC